Molecule: long non-coding RNA, 540 nt
Filed under: Homo sapiens (human)
Lineage: Eukaryota; Metazoa; Chordata; Mammalia; Primates; Hominidae
Description: non-protein coding GAS1RR:8
Source: RNAcentral
UCUGCCUCUCCCUAGAGGCCAAGUGAAUUUGAAAUGGCAAAAGUCACAGCCGGAGGCCCAGCACUAGGAGAUUCCUCCGGCUGCGGGAAAUCUUCCUGUACCUGCUGAAGCUGCUGCGUUCCUCAGAGGCGCUUGGUCUGCCGUGGGAAGCUGCACCUCUGCAGUCCCCAAAACCAAAAUCAAACCUUAAAAGAGCCAGACUGAGGUAAGGCGGACCGUCUUGCUCUGAUUUGAGUAUUGGUAGACAAACAGCAAUAUAAAUCGAUACUAAAAAAAUCCAGAAAGGCUGCAACUUCAUGGCACAUCAAAACAACCAUAUCCCUGGCUCUCUGUCUCUUUUUUUUUCUCUAUUAUUUGGAGUUGUCCUCUCAGUCCGGCCUGGAGGACUUGGACAACUCAGACACCUUCUCUGUGUCUGGGAUCCCUCCACAGAAGCCAGUCACCACGUAAGACAUCUGGACCACCUUCAGACUCGCAUGCUGUGAGGAAGCCCAUGCUUACUAUGUGUAGAGGAUACAUGGAGAAGGAAAGAGAUGCCUG